Oncorhynchus kisutch (coho salmon) is the source of this 3791-nucleotide RNA transcript. It is a transcript of the gene named alpha glucosidase, with no coding region annotated. The transcript is spliced from 21 exons. The record is from RefSeq and is a predicted model, not a curated record. NCBI's taxonomy places the organism in Eukaryota, Metazoa, Chordata, Actinopteri, Salmoniformes, Salmonidae.
UGGUAGCCCAAUAGGCAGCGCCCAGUUUGUCCCUAGCGGCAUGCCGUCGAAAUUGCUCAGUCCAGUUCAACAACAACUUUCCAUGUGCGAGGACAAGCGACAUUCAAUGCAUUUUGUGUGGCCUGCCCUAGAACUUCUACACUGACAUACGGGCUUGUAAGCAUUUGGAGACCGUUUUUCCCUAACAACUCCCAGAUGUCCCAACUCGACACAGGACAUGAGUUUGUCUAGUUGUCUGUCUGCCCUGUCUCUCUCAGCCCUGCUCACCCUGGCCUUGAUAACUUGUUUACACCGUAGCUACCUGUCUGACCAAAAGUUGUCACUGAUAAAGUUAACUAGCAAACAACAACCAGAUGAGACACCAAUACACCUAUCAGUAAGACCUGGUUUAGAGGAAGAUCCAGCAACAAAACAGGCCGGUGAGAGGGAGAUAGUGAACCUCCAGAGGGGUAGCUCCCAUCCAGCCCCCAGCCACAGAUUGCUGUGGGAAGGCUCCCAUCCAGCCCCCAGCCACAGAUUGCUGUGGGAAUUCCCCCAUCCAGCCAUCUCCAGUGGUCCCAGAGAGGCAGAGUGUAGUAGGGUGGCCCUGGAGAGCCGCUUUGACUGCGCCCGGGACCGAGUUCUGAGCCAGACAGAGUGUCAGGGGAGAGGGUGCUGCUAUGCCCCCCUACCUCAAGGCCUCUCUGGAGGACCCCCCUGGUGCUUCUACCCCCCGUCAUACAGCGGCUACAAGAUGGGGCCCCUCACCCCCACUUCCAGGGGCCAGGCUGCCACCCUUACGAGGCCCACUCCCUCCUACCUACCCCGGGAUAUCUCUACGCUCCGGUUGGAGAUCCUGGAUGAGACAGAAGGCCGACUGCACCUCACGUUGAAGGAUCCGUCGUCCCGGCGAUAUGAAGUUCCUUUAUCCACUGCCCAGUCCAGGGGUAACACUGACACCCAGGACCACCAAUAUGUCACUGAGUUUCAACCCGACCCUUUUGGGUUCAUAGUGCGCCGAAAAUCCAAUGGCCGUGUCCUUGUGAACACCACAGUGGCCCCGCUGCUGUAUGCUGACCAGUACCUGCAGCUGUCCACCUCCCUGGCCUCCUCACUGGUGUCUGGGCUGGGGGAACACUACACCCCCCUCAGCUUGGACCUCAAUUGGACCUCCCUUACCCUUUGGAACAGGGACAUGGCGCCCCACGGCGAUGCCAACCUUUAUGGCUCCCAUCCGUUCUACAUGGUGCAGGAGGGGGAUGGACAGGCUCAUGGGGUCUUCCUGCUCAACAGUAAUGCCAUGGAGGUGGUGCUGCAGCCUAGCCCUGCUCUGACCUGGGUGGCUGUGGGAGGAAUCCUGGACCUGUACAUCUUCCUGGGCCCUGACCCUCAGAGUGUUGUCAGACAGUACCUCCAGGUUAUAGGGUACCCUAUGAUGCCUCCUUAUUGGUCACUGGGGUUCCACCUGUGUCGCUGGGGUUACCGGUCCACUAACGCAACCCGAGAGGUGGUGCAACGCAUGCACAACGCCAACUUCCCCCUGGACGUGCAGUGGAAUGACCUGGAUUACGCAGACAAGCGUCGGGUGUUCACCUUUGACCCCCAGCGCUUUGUGGACCUGCCAGACAUGGUGAAGGAGUUCCAUCAGAAGGGCAUGAAGUACAUUCUCAUCCUGGACCCUGGGAUCAGCAGCACCAGCCCCCCUGGUACUUACCCACCCUUUGAUGAGGGUCAGCGGAGAGGGGUCUUCAUCAGGAACUCUACAGGACAGACACUCAUAGGGAAGGUGUGGCCUGGUCCGACAGCGUUCCCUGACUUCACCAACCCAGAGACACAGAGCUGGUGGGAGGACUGCAUUCGGGAGUUCCACUCCAGAGUCCCACUAGAUGGCCUGUGGAUUGAUAUGAAUGAACCAGCCAGUUUUGUGCAGGGCUCUGUGGAGGGGUGUCCUGACAGUGAUUUGGAUAGCCCCCCCUACGUGCCACCGGUGAUUGGAGGACAGCUGAACACUGGUACACUCUGCAUGUCAGCUCAGCAGAACCUGUCCACUCACUACAACCUGCAUAACCUCUAUGGGCUGACGGAGGCUAGCGCCACCCACAGUGCCCUGGUGAAGGUCCGGGGGUCGCGACCCUUCGUGCUGUCCCGCUCCUCCUUCCCUGGCAUUGGCCGUUUCUCCGGAGUCUGGACGGGAGACGUGAGGAGCGACUGGGAGCAGCUCAGAUACUCCAUCCCUGCGGUGCUGCUGUUUGGCCUGUUCGGGGUGCCACUGGUGGGGGCGGAUGUGUGUGGGUUCGGGGGGGACACCACAGAGGAGCUGUGUGUACGCUGGACCCAGCUUGGAGCCUUCUACCCCUUCAUGAGGAACCACAACGACAAGCCCAAUGCUCCCCAGGAGCCCUAUGUGUUUGGUCAGGAGGCCCAGACAGCCAUGCGUAGCGCGGUGAUGUUACGUUACUCUCUCCUGCCGUUCCUCUACACACUCUUCUACCACGCACACACCUCCGCAGACACUGUGGCCACGCCUCUCUUCCUCCAGUUCCCCUCGGACCCUAACUGCCAGACCAUAGACAGACAGUUCCUGUGGGGGAGUUCUCUGCUUGUCAGCCCAGUGUUAGAGCAGGGGGCAGUGGAGCUGGCUGCCUACCUCCCCCCGGGGACUUGGUACAGUCUGCACAAUGGCCAGCCAUUCUACAGUAAGGGUCAGUACCUGCUCCUCCCAGCCCCUCUAGACACCAUCAAUGUCCAUGUGAGAGAGGGACACAUCAUCCCACAGCAGAUACAGGAGCCAGGCCUGACUACCUCAGCUUCUCGCAGUAACCCUUUCCUCCUGACGGUGGCGCUGUCUGCUGGGGGCUGGGCCUGGGGUGACCUGUUCUGGGACGACGGGGACAGUCUGGACACAUUCCAGAGAGGAGACUACUCCUAUGUUAUCUUCAUCGCUGGACAGUCCCAGGUGAUGAGUGACCCCCUGCGUCAGAACGGGGCGCUGGACGGGCUGGUGCUGGGAGGGCUGCGAGUGUUCGGGGUGCCUUCCCCACCCCGCUAUGUAUGGGCCAACGGAAAGAAAGUGUGGGAUUUCUCUUAUCAGACUGACACCAAGGUUCUGACGGUGACCAGCCUGGCCCUGACCAUGUCAGAGGUGUUUGAAGUCCUGUGGACCUUGUGAGCCUUAUGAACUGUAUGACUCAGUGGACUCUGACCCAGUAGAUAGCUUCUCAGAUGAGUGAUUACAUGACAUUGUCUCAGGUGAGAUGCUGAGACAGUGGUGAGAUGCUGAGACAGUGGUGAGAUGCUGAGACAGUGGUGAGAUGCUGAGACAGUGGUGUGAUGCUGAGACAGUGGUGAGAUGCUGAGACAGUGGUGAGAUGCUGAGACAGUGGUGAGAUGCUGAGACAGUGGUGAGAUGCUGAGACAGUGGUGAGAUGCUGAGACAGUGGUGAGAUGCUGAGACAGUGGUGUGAUGCUGAGACAGUGGUGAGAUGCUGAGACAGUGGUGAGAUGCUGAGACAGUGGUGAGAUGCUGAGACAGAAAAUCUUUCUAACCUUUUAUUUUAUUUGUUAAGCACUUUUGAAAUGCAUCACCUGUAAGAAAUGUUCUUUAUAAAUAACAUUUGAUUAAUUGAUAAAUCUUGUGCUGAGGAGGACAGCAGUGGCUCAACACAAUUAUUUUUAUUAAUUGAACAUCUAAAAUUGACCAGAAUAUGGCCAUUCUGUACUCUUCUAGUAUGAUGGUAGGCUGUGUGUUAAGUCUCAUCAAAUGACUUCCAGUGAUAUUUCCACAUUGUUACCAUUAAAGGCAAUUGAUAGCU